RNAcentral lists this ribosomal RNA (448 nucleotides) under uncultured bacterium. RNAcentral's name for it is "bacterial SSU rRNA". It matches the Rfam family "Bacterial small subunit ribosomal RNA", at positions 28 to 507 of the family's 1533-position model. The record is from RNAcentral.
GAUGAACGCUAGCUACAGGCUUAACACAUGCAAGUCGAGGGGAAACGAUAUUGGAAGCUUGCUUCCGAUAGGCGUCGACCGGCGCACGGGUGAGUAACGCGGCCUAAUACCUCAUGGCCUCCGAGCUUGACAUCAACCUUGGAGUAAAGAUUCAUUGCCGUGGGAUGGGGAUGCGUCUGAUUAGCUUGUUGGCGGGGCAACGGCCCACCAAGGCAACGAUCAGUAGGGGUUCUGAGAGGAAAGCCCCCACAUUGGAACUGAGACACGGUCCAAACUCCUACGGGAGGCAGCAGUGAGGAAUAUUGGUCAAUGGGCGAGAGCCUGAACCAGCCAAGUGGCGUGCAGGAUGACGGCCCUAUGGGUUGUAAACUGCUUUUAUGCGGGGAUAAAGCGGGCGACGUGUCGCCCCUUGCAGGUACCGCAUGAAUAAGGACCGGCUAAUUCCGUG